AGAUGUGUGUUUGUUACCUGUACUACUUCUCGCCCAAACUACAGAACGGAUUGAGCCGAAACUUUGCGUGGAUAUAGUUCUAGACUUGCAGGAAUAACAUAUUAUAGGCUACUUUCCCCUGUCCGUAUUCAUACAACUAAAAGCGGGGCUCGCACAGAGUUAUUGGUAGUUUUGUUGAUUUAUGGGUCUCCUUGCUGAUAAUGAUAAAAUGAAAAAAUCAAACUAAUAGUGAAUAACGUAUUCCGUGUAACGGCCGCAACAGUAUGUUAUAAAUAAUUAGUUAUUUUUAAUUAUGUUAUUUUUUUCUUUUUUUGCAACGCCAGGCGGGACGGCUAGAAAAUAAUAUUCACCAAUAUAGUAUAAUAAUACAGUCUCAUGAAGGUACCCAUUGUAAUAUCUU
Molecule: non-coding RNA, 400 nt
Organism: Cinara cedri
Lineage: Eukaryota; Metazoa; Arthropoda; Insecta; Hemiptera; Aphididae
Source: the annotation of a GenBank genome assembly